GACGUAGGGUGCGAGCGUUGUCCGGAUUUAUUGGGCGUAAAGAGCUCGUAGGCGGCUCGUCGCGUCGACCGUGAAAACCCGCGGCUUAACUGCGGGCUUGCGGUUGAUACGGGCGGGCUAGAGUUCGGUAGGGGAGACUGGAAUUCCUGGUGUAGCGGUGAAAUGCGCAGAUAUCAGGAGGAACACCGGUGGCGAAGGCGGGUCUCUGGGCCGAUACUGACGCUGAUGCGCGAAAGCCAGGGGAGCGAACGGG
Molecule: ribosomal RNA, 253 nt
Filed under: uncultured bacterium
Lineage: Bacteria
Description: partial 16S ribosomal RNA
Rfam family: Bacterial small subunit ribosomal RNA
Source: RNAcentral